AUAUUGCACAAUGGGCGAAAGCCUGAUGCAGCGACGCCGCGUGAGGGAUGACGGCCUUCGGGUUGUAAACCUCUUUCAGCUCCGAAGAAGCGAGAGUGACGGUAGGAGCAGAAGAAGCACCGGCUAACUACGUGCCAGCAGCCGCGGUAAUACGUAGGGUGCGAGCGUUGUCCGGAAUUAUUGGGCGUAAAGAGCUCGUAGGUGGUUCGUCGCGUCUGCUGUGAAAGUCCGAGGCUCAACCUCGGAUCUGCAGUGGGUACGGGCGGACUAGAGUGCGGUAGAGGAGAUCGGAAUUCCUGGUGUAGCGGUGGAAUGCGCAGAUAUCAGGAGGAACACCGGUGGCGAAGGCGGAUCUCUGGGCCGUAACUGACGCUGAGGAGCGAAAGCAUGGGGAGCGAACAGGCUUAGAUACCCUGGUAGUCCACGCCGUAAACGAUGGUCACUAGGUGUGGGAGGUGUCGACUCCUCCUGUGCCGUAGCUAACGCANAAGUGCCCCGCC
RNAcentral lists this ribosomal RNA (500 nucleotides) under uncultured bacterium. RNAcentral describes it as "bacterial SSU rRNA". It matches the Rfam family "Bacterial small subunit ribosomal RNA", at positions 361 to 873 of the family's 1533-position model. The record is from RNAcentral.